RNAcentral lists this ribosomal RNA (461 nucleotides) under uncultured bacterium. RNAcentral's name for it is "bacterial SSU rRNA". It matches the Rfam family "Bacterial small subunit ribosomal RNA", at positions 8 to 493 of the family's 1533-position model. The record is from RNAcentral.
AGAGUUUGAUCCUGGCUCAGGACGAACGCUGGCGGCGUGCUUAACACAUGCAAGUCGAACGGGCAUCUUCGGGUGCUAGUGGCGAACGGGUGAGUAACACGUGAGCAACCUGCCCUUGGCUCUGGGAUAGCCUCCGGAAACGGGGAUUAAUACCGGACAUGACCUUCUCCUGCAUGGGGGAGGGUGGAAAGUUUUUCGGCCAGGGAGGGGCUCGCGGCCUAUCAGCUUGUUGGGGGGGUAACGGCCCACCAAGGCGACGACGGGUAGCCGGCCUGAGAGGGCGACCGGCCACACUGGGACUGAGACACGGCCCAGACUCCUACGGGAGGCAGCAGUGGGGAAUAUUGCGCAAUGGGCGGAAGCCUGACGCAGCGACGCCGCGUGCGGGAUGAAGGCCUUCGGGUUGUAAACCGCUUUCAGCAGGGACGAAGCGUGAGUGACGGUACCUGCAGAAGAAGCGC